AUGUCCAUCACCGACCGACGUGUGAACCUCAGUUGGGAGGUGAUCAUUGUCUAUGGCCCGGCUGAUCACGGGCGGUCGGCGGCGUUUCUGGCUGAGCUCCGGGAUAAGGUUGAACGUUGCACGAGCCCAGUUGUGGUGGCGGGCGACUUCAAUCUUAUCAGACAGGAAGCAGACAAAAGCUCGCCCAACAUCAACCGGCGGCGUAUGCGCAUGUUCAACGAUUCCAUAGCAGAGAUGGCCCUACGGGAGAUAGCCCGGGUAGGGGCUAGGUUCACAUGGACCAAUAAACAGGUGGACCCUAUCCGGAGUGUGCUAGAUCGGGUCCUCGUGUCAGUCCAGUGGGAGGUUAUGUUCCCACUGUGUUCCCUACAGGCGGUGACUCGGAUUGGCUUCGACCAUGUUCCCCUGUUGUUUGCAUCAGGGGAAAGGUCUCCACCGAGAUCUAGGAGAUUCCACUUCAAACCUUCUUGGCUUCUGCAGCCGGGGUUCGUCAAGAUGGUGCAGGACCGGUGGGUGCAGGCAGCGCGUAGCCCUCCUAGGGUAUUCUACGCCACAGAUAUUUGGCAUCACUGCUCUAAAACCACUCACCAGCUUAUGAGGGGCUGGGGCACCAACCUUGGGGCUGCCCUGCGGUCCCGCAAAGGGGCUCUAUUGGACCAAAUUAAGGCCCUAGACGCGACUACUGAUUCAGUUGGUCUGUCGGACGAAGGCUGGUUGCAACGAUACUCCCUUGAAGCCUCCCUAAUGGAGAUCUUCAAGGGGGGGAGCUAUUUUGGCAACGCCGGGGGGCCAAAAGUGGCUCUUACAAGGCGAUUCUAA
This 819-nucleotide ribosomal RNA is filed under the name Triticum aestivum (bread wheat). RNAcentral's name for it is "partial small subunit ribosomal RNA". Lineage: Eukaryota; Viridiplantae; Streptophyta; Magnoliopsida; Poales; Poaceae. The record is from RNAcentral.